UGUCCAGUGCAGGGAUAGCAGCGGAGAGAGAGAGAGAUAAAGACGGAGACAGAGACAGAAUGCCAGCAGAGUGACAGCCAGCAGUCAGUAACAGGACAGAGAGAGAAGAGAGAGGACCUUGAGACUACGACUAACUGGUAUCAAUGUGAAGAGGUCUCAGAGAUCCAACGACAAGGUCAGAAACAGACACAAGACCGGGACCAAGCGUGA
This 210-nucleotide long non-coding RNA is filed under the name Oncorhynchus kisutch (coho salmon). RNAcentral describes it as "lncRNA (ENSOKIG00005020569.1)". The record is from RNAcentral. Lineage: Eukaryota; Metazoa; Chordata; Actinopteri; Salmoniformes; Salmonidae.